GACGAACGCUGGCGGCGUGCUUAACACAUGCAAGUCGAACGGUGAAGCGCCUUCCUUUUUGGUGGGUGUGGAUGAGUGGCGAACGGGUGAGUAACACGUGAGUAACCUGCCCCCUUCUUCUGGAUAACCGCAUGAAAGUGUGGCUAAUACGGGAUAUUCUGGGUCUGUCGCAUGAUGGGUCUGGGAAAGAUAUUGUUUCGGUGGGGGAUGGGCUCGCGGCCUAUCAGCUUGUUGGUGGGGUGAUGGCCUACCAAGGCGGUGACGGGUAGCCGGCCUGAGAGGGUGGCCGGUCACACUGGGACUGAGACACGGCCCAGACUCCUACGGGAGGCAGCAGUGGGGAAUAUUGCACAAUGGGCGCAAGCCUGAUGCAGCGACGCCGCGUGAGGGAUGGAGGCCUUCGGGUUGUGAACCUCUUUCGCCAGUGAAGCAGGCCUGCCUCGUUUGUGGGUGGGUUGACGGUAGCUGGAUAAGAAGCGCCGGCUAACUACGUG
This 494-nucleotide ribosomal RNA is filed under the name uncultured bacterium. RNAcentral describes it as "partial 16S ribosomal RNA". It matches the Rfam family "Bacterial small subunit ribosomal RNA", at positions 28 to 507 of the family's 1533-position model. The record is from RNAcentral.